CUGGGAGUUGCUCAGUGGUAGAGCACUUGCCUAGCACGCAAGGCUCCGGGUUCCAUCCCCAGCACCAAAA
Molecule: transfer RNA, 70 nt
Filed under: Marmota monax (woodchuck)
Lineage: Eukaryota; Metazoa; Chordata; Mammalia; Rodentia; Sciuridae
Rfam family: tRNA
About the family: Transfer RNA (tRNA) molecules are approximately 80 nucleotides in length. Their secondary structure includes four short double-helical elements and three loops (D, anti-codon, and T loops).
Source: Rfam by way of RNAcentral